Molecule: ribosomal RNA, 494 nt
Filed under: uncultured bacterium
Lineage: Bacteria
Description: bacterial SSU rRNA
Rfam family: Bacterial small subunit ribosomal RNA
Source: RNAcentral
AAAGGAAUUGACGGGGGCCCGCACAAGCGGAGGAACAUGUGGUUUAAUUCGAUGAUACGCGAGGAACCUUACCCGGGCUUGAAAGUUAGUGACUUUAGUAGAGAUACUAUUUCCCUUCGGGGCACGAAACUAGGUGCUGCAUGGUUGUCGUCAGCUCGUGCCGUGAGGUGUCGGCUUAAGUGCCAUAACGAGCGCAACCCCUAUCUUCAGUUACCAUCAGGUAAUGCUGGGGACUCUGGAGAGACUGCCACCGUAAGGUGUGAGGAAGGUGGGGAUGACGUCAAAUCAGCACGGCCCUUACGUCCGGGGCGACACACGUGUUACAAUGGGCGGUACAGAGGGUUGCUACCUGGUGACAGGAUGCUAAUCUCAAAAAGCCGUUCUCAGUUCGGAUCGGAGUCUGCAACUCGACUCCGUGAAGCUGGAUUCGCUAGUAAUCGCGCAUCAGCCAUGGCGCGGUGAAUACGUUCCCGGGCCUUGUACACACCGCCCGU